AACCCUACAGUCUAUGAUUUCAACUCGUGGCCAGGUCUUCACUCUUCACACGCACAGCAGCGACGACGACAAAGAGAGGAGACGGAGCGGAAUAUUUUUGGACAUCUUUUAAUGGUUAGCAUCAACUCCAGGACAGUAUACCCUUGUUUUUUCGCCGAAAUUGGCUAACUUUUGACACGUUACCCAGCCGGGGAGCCGUUUUAUCGUCUACUUGAGGAUUUCCACCUGAUGUCCUGCAUGACCUGUUUGAAGGUGUGAUUCCUGUUGAGUUGGCGCAUUGUCUCAAAGUCACAUAGUUAUAGCCGCAUCACACCAGAGGACAUCCUCCUCUUCCCCCUGGGACCUAAGGGAGGAAGAUCUCAGACCCUUUCCAUCAUUUUUCCAGUAGAGAUCACCCUGACACCCAGGACAACAUACUGUAAGGUUCCUCUAACACAGUGAAAAUGGAAGAAUCUGACGUCCUCAAACUUAGGGUCAUCCUUGACGAUGUCAAUGCUGAGAGGCUAAUUUUGCGCUCUCGUCCUGAGACUAUAAAUGCCCUCAUAUCUGAGGUGAAAAGUAAACUGAACCUGAUGUAUGAAUUCCGGCUUCAGUUUCAAGAUCCAGAUUUUGACAAUGCUUUAUGCAAUUUAGUGAACAUAGAGGACCUGCCAUCCAAGGCAACAGUUAAAGUAGUGAGGCUCAUUGAGGCAGAUCAGUCCUCUAUGAGCACG
Molecule: long non-coding RNA, 713 nt
Organism: Notolabrus celidotus (New Zealand spotty)
Lineage: Eukaryota; Metazoa; Chordata; Actinopteri; Labriformes; Labridae
Exons: 4
Source: RefSeq, a predicted model, not a curated record